Molecule: ribosomal RNA, 270 nt
Filed under: uncultured archaeon
Lineage: Archaea
Description: partial 16S ribosomal RNA
Rfam family: Bacterial small subunit ribosomal RNA
Source: RNAcentral
CGAGGGUGCAAGCGUUAAUCGGAAUUACUGGGCGUAAAGCGAGUGUAGGCGGUUACUUAAGUCGGAUGUGAAAGCCCUGGGCUCAACCUGGGAAUGGCAUUCGAUACUGGGUAACUAGAGUUUGGUAGAGGUAAGUGGAAUUCCGGGUGUAGCGGUGAAAUGCGUAGAUAUCCGGAGGAACAUCAGUGGCGAAGGCGGCUUACUGGACCAAAACUGACGCUGAGGCUCGAAAGCGUGGGGAGCAAACAGGAUUAGAUACCCGAGUAGUCC